UUCCCGAUUCCUAUGUCUCAGUCUCCGUCACUCACUCACUCACUCACGACGAAUCCCAACCCUCAGUCUCUCUGACUCCUCCAAGCUGCCAAAGUGACGGUCGACGGCGACGAAGCCAAACCCCAAGGCCGACGCCGACGCCUCCCUCCCUCCCCUGCGAAUCUGCGACGAAGAAACAAGCAGAUGACGACGAAGCUAGAAGCCGACGGCGCUGCCUCCCUCCCUCCGUCCCCUGCGAAUCUGCGAAUCUAGAGCUGAGAGCUAGUUGUUGGCACUUGUCAGAGAGCAGACACUCCAGGUUUGGUUGAUGCAGGGAGUAGAGAAUUCAGAACUCAGUUUUGGUUCUUGCAGGAGGAGAAUUCAAAGAAACCCAUUGAAAUUCAAAGAAACACCUAGCAUUUGUCAAAUAACAGAAAUCCUCUAAAGAAACCCACAUAGAAAUUCAAAGAAACCCAAGAUUAUGUAUAAAUGUCUAUUACCUGUGUGCUGGUUGAUUUGCAGAGAUUUGAGAGCUUGUUGAUUGCACUUUGCAGAGCUCCAGACUGAUGAGGCUUGGUUGAUGCAGGGGCCAGGGAGUAGAGAAUUCAGAAUGCAGUUUUGAUUCUUGUAUGAGGAGAAUUCAGUAUUUGUUUUUGUUAACUAACUUUGAUUCAUCUGUAGUAUAUAUACCAGUUCAAGUACAACUUAAAAUUUAUUUAAUGAUAUCUUUUUAUCUUUUUAUUAUAAUAA
Long non-coding RNA from Ipomoea triloba (trilobed morning glory), 729 nucleotides. RefSeq lists it as uncharacterized. Lineage: Eukaryota; Viridiplantae; Streptophyta; Magnoliopsida; Solanales; Convolvulaceae. The record is from RefSeq and is a predicted model, not a curated record. The transcript has 2 exons.